GGCUGCCUGGGGAGGGGACAGAACUGGAUUACAGGCACCUGAGGAUCUGGGCAGCAGAAGGGAGAGCUCAGGGUGGAGAAGGAGAGAGGUCACCUGCACCAGGGCUCCCAAAUGCCCCCUGCUUGCUGGCCAUCCCAGAGGAGCUUCAAACAGCCAUCCCACAGGGCCACUGAACAGCUUUGGACCCUUCCUUGGAGUGGGAGCUUUCCAGAAGCCAAGGAACCCUGGACUUGAGACCUUUCAGGAGGGAUGGGUGCAUGCCUACACCUUAGCCCCACUUCCUGGACUGGCAUUGGUGCUGCCCAGCAUACUUUCUGCUGGGCUCCUGGGCAUCAGGGCCUGCCAGGGUCUGUAGGAAAGAGGCAGGAGGUCAGCAGUCUCAGGUCUCUGCUGGGAAUACACCCUCCCCAAGCAGUCCAGUGUCCAGAUGGGACCACAGGCCCAGCAGCCAGGGGACUGAGCCCCACCACCCACUCUACAGGUGCAGCCUGCCUUCAUGCCCAGGCCCAGCAGCACUCACAGUGUGCCCAGGCCCUGGAGACCAGUGGAUCAUGAAGAGAGCAGAGGGUCUGCCUCUGACACCGACCCCCAAGGCUGUGAGCCCUCCUCCAGUGGGUGAGACUGGGCUCCAAAGAGGAGAGGGUGCUCUGGGCAGUACUAAGGGGGCUAGAGUACUGCCUCUCCCAAGGCCAGGGGCCUGGUGUGCUGGCUACCUUCUAUGGUUCACAGGUCUUUAGCUGGGGCAGGGCAUGAUGGGGAGGGGCAGGAAACAAGCCAGUGUAGGAUUCAGACAGCAAGAGCCAACUGGGUGCUGCCCCAGUGCCAUCCACUCUCCCUUGCCCUGAAUCAGUGCCCUGGCUCCUGGCACCCCAAGCUGCACCCACACCACUGCACCCAGGGGCUCACCCAUCCACCACUCCUCCUCAGUCAGGCUGCCAGGGUCCUGUGCACAAACUCUCCCAGGCAGUCCACCAAGGCAUGCACCAUGGUGGGCUGGGACUGACACACAUAGUCCAUGUCCAGUCCUGUAGCCACUGCAUACAGGGAUACCACCUUGCCCACGUGAUGCCUGCAGAGAGAGUUGCUGGUCAGGCACUGGAAGUGGGAGAUGCCCAGGUGGUGCCCAGGAUCCAGGUACCUCCUACAGGCCCUCUCCCCAGUGACUUUCGGCCAGCUGAUGGCCUGGAGGAACCCUGCCACAUCUCCCAUGGGUAAGUCCCACCCACCCGAGGGCAGACAAGUUGCCCAGCCCAAGGACAAAGGAGGUCCCAGGGAGGCACCUCAACACAGGGCCCAGCAGACCUGGGGCUGCAUGAAUGGACAGCAAGGGUUCCCUGGGCACACCUGUCCCUCUACCCCGUCAUCCAUUCAUGAAGAAGCCAAGGCCCACAGAAAGAACCUUUCCCAGACAACUGACUGACUGAGUGGCAGAACAGAGCUGGUGCCACUUCGGGGGAGACAGACCAUGGCCCCAGACAAGUGCUCCUGAGCCCCAGGCCAGCCGUACUCCUGAGCACACCAAGUCAGUUCACAAAUCAAAGAGCCCUCUUGAGACUCACACACAGGCUGGGACAGGGGCCAGCCAGAAGAGCUAUCCAAUAGCCAUCAGGCCCUGGGCUCCACCCCAGCACUGAGAGAAACACAUGAACGGUGGACACCUCAGAACAGCCAGUGGAAGGAGCCAGAUGCACAGCACAUGCACUGAGAAAGACCACAUGUGCAGCAUCCAGAACAGUGCCUGCAGCCAGAGUAGGUCAGUGGCUUGGCAGGGUGGACCAAACAGGGUCACCACGCCAGUGUACCAAAUACCAUCAAACUGCCACUUCAGAGGAACCUCUUGGCCAGGAUGAAGAAGGCCGCUGCCCAUUUUCAGGUCUCUUGGGCCUCUGUCUAGAGCUGCCAGGUUCAACUCCUUUCACUCGAACUCAAACAGACCCCUGCACAGAGAGUGUGGCAUCAUCUGCCUCAGGCCUGACACCAACAAGGUGGCCUUCAUCAGUGACCAGAACACAGUCACUCAGACUACCAGGUCAUGGCACAUGCCUGCAAUUUCCAGGACUCGGGAGGCUAAGGCAGAAGGAUCCAAAGUUCAAGGCCAGCCUCAGCAACUUAGUGAGGCCCUAAGCCCUGGUGGUCAGUACUGAAAAAGAAAUUACUCUCCAAAAGCUUGCAUGACCUUGACCUUGCCCACUUGUCCAAAAACUGCUCCCUUCCUGGAUGUUCAGGAUGCACCCAGUCUAGAGUGGAGCUGUUCAGGCCCUGGUGGGCAUGGCAGUGUGUAGAAGUCAGUGGGUAUGUCCACCCCACAGUGCUCCAGUGUGGGCUCCAAUGGGGGGUAGGAGGGCUGGGUCCAGGGCACCUCUGCAGAGGCCAACCCCCCAGAAUACCCAUCCUGUACUGUAACACACUCGAAACCAAGAAGGCUGUGUGCAGGUGAGAAGGACCUUGUGCUGAAAGUCUCAGAGUCCAGCCUCCUUUGGUGGGAGGAUGACUCAGAGGCCAGCCUCCUGUGCAGAGGAAGCUUCUCUCUGGAGCCAGAAUGGGAGGCUACAGCUGAGCUCCACCCCUUUAAGGUGUUGUGGAGGUGGAGGAGGGUGAGGUGAAUGGGCAGGAACUGGGCAUCGUGUCCCAAUCCAUCGCCAGGAUCUCCUUCACCAAGGAGCCCCAUGUGGAGCAGGGGGAGGAGGCAGUGCACCAGAAUGGGGACCUGGGGUGUAGUCUAAGAAGCCAGCACCCAGACCUGUGUCCUGUGCUGCCGCAUCUAUUUUCUACCUCGGCACUCUGCUGACCAGACUGACCACAGGUGGGAAGCAGGCCUGGGUCUUCCCCUUGAAUCACUGAGGAAACAUAUCAUGCUGGGGUCGGGGUUCAGAAUGUGGGGGUGAAGGACUGGUGCUUGGUGAGCAGCUGUCUGCCUUUCCAGGUACUGCUGGGCAGAAGGCCGUGACCCUGCCUUGACCACAUGUUUGGAAUUUUUUUUGGGGGGGUACCAGGGACUGAUCACAGGGACACUUGACCAGUGAGCCACGUCCCCAGUCCUAGUUUGUGUUUUAUUUAGAGGAGGCUCUCACUGAGUUGCUUAGCACCUCAAUUUUGCUGAGGCUGGCUUUGAGCUCAUGAUCCUCCUACCUCAGCCUCCCAAGUCGCUGGGAUUACAGCCAUGCUCCACUGUGCCUGGCCUGGAAUUUCUUUAUAGUGAAGGUGCUGUGGGUGCAUGACCUUGCUGAGCAUGAGCUCUACUUCAUCCUGAAAUCUCCAGCCUGGUCACGGUGUCCCUAUGCUGUCCUGUUCUAUGCCUUGACCUUUGGUGGGAGUCACAGGCUUGGUGGGUGCCACCAUCCCACCACAUUCCUGCAGCUCAGGUUGGUUCAGCAUCAGGGUCGUAUGUGUUGACAAUGUGUCUGUUGCUCCUGCUGAAUGUUCCUUUGGUGAGUCUCACACAGACUCACACUCCUCUUCUUGUGGAGGAAAAGUUUGUGUUCCCUCAACCCCAGGCCUGAGUGCACCUGCUUUCCUGGGCUGCCUCUGCUGCAGCCACAGGUGGCUCCUUUCUCACACACCUUCUUGGUGUUCAAAAGGGCCCUUUCAUCUGCCUUGCUAUGUGCUUUUCCUACAUCCAGUCCCACUCUCUGCCAGUUACCUAAGCCCAUUUCCAUACCUCAGAAAUGAGAUGCCUGCCAUCUCAGUGCGAGAGCCGCUUCUCCAGGCUGUUUUGGUCCUUUUGCCUUGCUCUCUGGAAAACUUCCUCAUCACCAUCUCCACACUGUGGUGGAAUUCUGAGCUGUGCUGGAGGGCUUGUUUCCAUGGAUGGUCUCCCUCUCCCUCUCCUACUUGCCCUUUUAAACAUGCUGCUCUGGUUUCAUCCAUAGGUACAGCAGCUUCUCCUGCAUCUCUGAGAGCAUUUGUUUUCAUUUUUGUUUUUGAGAUGGGGUCUCACCUUGCUGCCCCAGCUGAUCCUGAACUCUUGCUGGGGGCUUUCCUCCUGCCCUUCCUGCUGAAUACUUGGAGCUGCAGGUGCUGCCUGCACA
This is an RNA transcript of Sciurus carolinensis (gray squirrel), 4028 nucleotides long. It is a transcript of the gene named peroxynitrite isomerase THAP4-like, with no coding region annotated. The transcript has 5 exons. The record is from RefSeq and is a predicted model, not a curated record. Lineage: Eukaryota; Metazoa; Chordata; Mammalia; Rodentia; Sciuridae.